Molecule: ribosomal RNA, 427 nt
Filed under: Candidatus Pacearchaeota archaeon
Lineage: Archaea; Nanobdellati
Description: bacterial SSU rRNA
Rfam family: Archaeal small subunit ribosomal RNA
Source: RNAcentral
AUUCCAGUUGAUCCUGCUGGCGGCUGCGGCUCUCUGGUUUGCGAUUAGACAUGCAAGUCUUUUUGUUGAUUCUUUGAAUUAGUGAAAGGCAAACUGCUCAGUAACACGUAGCUAACCUACCCUUAGGUCAGGGAUACCGUCGGGAAACUGACGUUAAUACCUGAUAAGAGAUAUACCCUGGAAUGAUUUAUCUCUGAAACUCGAGCCUAAGGAUGGGGCUGCGGCGGAUUAGGUUGUUGGCGGGGUAACUGCCCACCAAGCCUAAGAUCCGUAAGGGCUCUUAGCGGAGAGGCCCUGAGAGGGAAUCUGAGACACUAUUCCCAGCCCCACGGGGUGCAGCAGUUAGGAAUAAUCUACAAUGCGCGCAAGCGUGAUAGUUUGAGCCAGAGUGCGUUCCAAUUGGAAUGCUUUUGCCAAAUGUAAAAAG